Molecule: transfer RNA, 76 nt
Filed under: Rubrivivax gelatinosus
Lineage: Bacteria; Pseudomonadati; Pseudomonadota; Betaproteobacteria; Burkholderiales; Sphaerotilaceae
Also listed under: 15 other names
Description: tRNA-Thr
Rfam family: tRNA
About the family: Transfer RNA (tRNA) molecules are approximately 80 nucleotides in length. Their secondary structure includes four short double-helical elements and three loops (D, anti-codon, and T loops).
Source: RNAcentral
GCCGGCUUAGCUCAGUUGGUAGAGCACCCGCCUUGUAAGCGGAAGGUCGUCAGUUCGACUCUGACAGCCGGCACCA